Molecule: ribosomal RNA, 829 nt
Filed under: Marasmius atrorubens
Lineage: Eukaryota; Fungi; Basidiomycota; Agaricomycetes; Agaricales; Marasmiaceae
Description: partial large subunit ribosomal RNA
Rfam family: Eukaryotic large subunit ribosomal RNA
Source: RNAcentral
UUCCCUAGUAACUGCGAGUGAAGAGGGAAAAGCUCAAAUUUAAAAUCUGGCAGCCUCGCUGUCCGAGUUGUAAUUUAGAGAAGUGUUACCCGCGUUGGACCGUGUAUAAGUCUCCUGGAAUGGAGCGUCAUAGAGGGUGAGAAUCCCGUCUUUGACACGGACUCCCAAGGCAUUGUGGUGCGCUCUCGAAGAGUCGAGUUGUUUGGGAAUGCAGCUCUAAAUGGGUGGUAAAUUCCAUCUAAAGCUAAAUAUUGGCGAGAGACCGAUAGCGAACAAGUACCGUGAGGGAAAGAUGAAAAGAACUUUGGAAAGAGAGUUAAACAGUACGUGAAAUUGCUGAAAGGGAAACGCUUGAAGUCAGUCGCGUUGGCCGGGGAUCAGCCUUGCUUUUGUGAGGUGUACUUCCUGGUUGACGGGUCAGCAUCAAUUUCGACCACUGGAAAAGGAUUUGGGGAAUGUGGCACCUCCGGGUGUGUUAUAGCCUCUUGUCGUAUACAGUGGUUGGGAUUGAGGAACUCAGCACGCCGUAAGGCCGGGUUUCGACCACGUUCGUGCUUAGGAUGCUGGCAAAAUGGCUUUAAGCGACCCGUCUUGAAACACGGACCAAGGAGUCUAACAUGCCUGCGAGUGUUUGGGUGGAAAACCCGAGCGCGUAAUGAAAGUGAAAGUUGGGAUCUCUGUCGUGGAGAGCACCGACGCCCGGACCUGAUGUUUACUGACGGAUCUGCGGUAGAGCAUGUAUGUUGGGACCCGAAAGAUGGUGAACUAUGCCUGAAUAGGGUGAAGCCAGAGGAAACUCUGGUGGAGGCUCGUAGCGAUUCUGACGUGC